CAGAGCAUGAGCUGGGAGGGGCAGAGAGAGAGGGAGACACAGAAGCCAAAACAGGCUCCAGUCUCCAGGCUGCCAGCACAGGGCCUGAUGCAGGGCUCAAACCCACAAACUGUGAGAUAAUGACCUGAGCCAAAGCCAGAUACUUAGCUGACCGAGCCACUGAGGUGCCACCAGAAUAUGAGAUUCCAUAAAACAACUGAACAUCAAGUCAAUGGCAUGAAGAAAAAAAUGGUGGGGCAAAGUGGAGAGAGACUAUUCUAAAUUUUAAGACACUCGAACAUAACCAUCAAAUGCAAUGUGUGGACCUCAUCUGGAUGCUGAGUCUAAAAAAACCAACAAUAACGAAGAUAUUUCUUCAGUAUCAGAGAACUGUGAAAAUGGUCUAAGAAUUAGAUGAUAUCAAGGAAUUGUUACUUUUGUUAGGUGUGUUACUGGCAUCAUGGUUAUAUAAGAAAAUAUUCGUAUAUUUUAGAGAUGCAAAGUGAAACAUCGAUAGACAAAAUUACAUGAGGUCUGGGACUUGCUUUAAAAUUUUUUUUUAAUGUUUUAUUUAGUUUUGAGAGAGCGAGAGAGAAUAAGUGGGAGGGGGCAGAGAGAGAGGGAGACACAGAAUCUGCAAAGCAGGCUCCAGGCUCUGAGCUGUCAGCACAGAGCCCGAUGUGGGGCUCAAACUCAUGAACCCGAGAUCAUGAUCUGAGCCAAAGUUGGACGCUUAACCGACUGAGCCACACAGGCGCCCCUAGGAUUUGCUUUAAAAAUGGUUCCACAGUGGGGAACCUGGCUGGCUCAGUUGGAAGAGCAUGCAACCCUUGCUCUCAGGGCUGAGAGUUCAAGCCACACAUUGUGCAUGGAGCCUACUUUAUUUAAAAAAAUUUGUUUUUAAUUUAUUUUGAGAGAGACAGAGAGAAGGUGUGUGGGGGAGGAGCAGAGAGAGAGAGGAAGAAAGAGAAUCCCAAGCAGGCUCCGCGAGGUCAGUGUGCAGAGCAUGACACAGGGUUCGAACCCACAAAACAGAUCAUGACCAGAGUCAGUCGCUCAACCAAUGGAACCAUCCAGGCCCCCAUAGGGCCUAAUUUAAAUAAAUAAAAAAACAAACAAAUAAAAUGCUUCUGCAGAAAAAGGAGAAGGAUAGACAAAGUAAGUGUUGUCAAAUCCUAAUAACUGCUGAAUCUGAGUAAUGGGUAUAUACUAUUCUUUUUAAUUUUGUUUUUAUUUUUUUUUUGAAAUUUUCCAUAGUGAAAAGAUAAUGGAGACAGGCAAAAUAGAAAUCAAUUCAGCCUGAUCUUUGUAUACCAAUGGAGCACAUACAUGGAAAAAGUUAUGGCAAAAGAGAUUGACUUGCGGUCACUAUCAGAGUGAAGGGGGAGUCACAAGCACCUGUGAUGUCAGCGAUCACGCCUUGAAUGAUGUGACCUUGGCAGGAGGACGGGCUGUUGGUGGGUUUAACAAUUCUUUCUCACGUCUCCUUUUUCCUAACACCUGAGGUGGCAUCUCAGCACAUCCAAGUAGAGUACAGAGCAGUGUGCAAUGUUCUUUUGCAUCCAAAAAAUGCUAAUCACACUUGAUAUCUUUGCUAAUUCACUGGGGAAUAAUUUUGGGUUCCAUAGGUACAUCUCAAGAUUUAAAUGGAACUGGGAAGAAUUUAACAAGCAUGUUGAUUCUGUACGGAUUGCCCCUCACCCCACCUCUCCUGACACUUCCUCUGUGACCAUCCUGUUUGAGUAAGGGUGCUGGGUGAGGGAAGAAGAAACAUUUUUUUUAGAGGAAGGAUUACAAAAAUUGGGGAUGCAACCACAGCCAAGUGUGUGACCACUCUGCAGUCCAGAAUGUGGGGCAGGUGGAUAUCAUCAAUUGAUCAGCCCUCUUGCCCACGGGACUUGGCUUCUUGCCACACUACUCCAGGCAGCACCAUAUGGAUGAAGUCUUCCUACUUGAAACGUCUUCAGACUGAAUUGUAAAGCAUUUGCCUCGCUGCUUUUUAAUUUCUACAGUGGAACAAACGAGAAGAAAAAUAUCUUGAAUAGAAACUCAAGGAAUUUGGAUUAGAUUAGAUGUGAAGAACAGCCUCACGCGAGGAAGCUGAAAUGUGGAAUAAUUACGGCACUUAGAAAGAUUAUGAUACUUUUUCUAAAACAUCUAUUAAAACUGGACAGAUUCUGAUUGUCUGGGAUGGUCCAGGAAUGAUGAAGUUGACAACAUGUUGUCUUUUGGCCUGUGUCAGGGCAUCUAGCAUUUUUGCCUGCCCAGCAUCUUUUUCCCAUCCUCCAACAGAAAAUUCUUUCCUUUAGAGAAAUGUAUGUUUGGGAAGGAGCUGCUGCUUCCCUUCUACACUUGGUUUUAACUGUGCCCGAAGCAAGAUUCAGUCCUGGAGAAUUUAAAUGACCUUACCUUCCAGCUUUUCCACCAGAGGACGCUGUUCCUGGUCUGCACGUGGUCAUCUUCUUGUAGCUUCACAUGGUGAGGAGAGAGAGGAAGCAAGCCCUAUCUUGUCUCUUCUUAUCUCAGAUGCUUAUGACUCACUGCCAGUGACUGGGAAAGAGAAUCUACACUGGGAAUCCUCUAACAUCAGAGAUUCAGGAGACUGAGAAGUCCAAGACCAAGGUGCUGGCUGACUUUGCUCAUAGUGAAGACCCUGUUGCUGAUCUGCACAUGGUCGUCUUCUUGUAGCUUCACAUGGUGAGGAGGGAGAGGAAGCAAGCCCUCUCUUGUCUCUUCUUAUAAAGACGCUCAUCUUAAAGAAGAUGUGGUAUUACUCGCCAAUCAAAAAGAAUGAAAUCUUGCCUUUUGCAACUACAUGGAUGGAACUGGAGGGUAUUAUGCUAAGUGAAAUUAGUCAGAGAAAGACAAAUAUCAUAUGACUUCACUCAUAUGAGGACUUUAAGAGACAAAACAGAUGAACGUAAGGGAAGGGAAACAAAAAUAAUAUAAAAACAGGGAGGGGACAAAACAGAAGAGACCCAUAAAUAUGGAGAACAAACUGAGGGUUACUGGAGGGGUUGUGGGAGGGGGGAUGGGCUAAAUGGGUAAGGGGCACUAAGGAAUCUACUCCUGAAAUCAUUGUUGCACUAUAUGCUAACUAAUUUGAAUGUAAAUUAAAAAAAAAUUUUUUUUUUAAUUAAAAAAAAAAAGAAAGAUGCUCAUCUUAUCGUGAGGGCCCCACCCUGACAACCUAAUUCCUUCCCAAAGCCUCCAUCUCUAAAUAUCAUCACAUUGGUGAUUAGGGGUUCAAUGAUUUUGGGGGUACAUAAACCCAAUAGUAUAGGUCAAAAUAAAUUUGGCAACUGAAGUCAAGUCAUUGCAAGUCUUUAUAUAGUUAUUGUCUCAGUCACCAGGUCACUUUUAACAGCUCUCUCCCCAUGCCACACUAGGAUAGUGAAUUGACCAUUUAACCCUUUGAUGACUGAAGAAAUGUUGUAGGCCUUUACCUCCUCACUUUAUUCUUCCUCUCACCACGUCCAUUGCUUCCUUUCACCCACAUGCCACCCCUCUACCAAAACCCUUGAUUCUGAAACCUCAUAUGGCAUUUAAGUUUCACUCCAAAAUGAAAAUUCUCUAAAAAACUUCUUUGUAUUCUGUCAUUUGAGGUCCUGCCCUUUCUCACUGUCCUCCAAGAUGACCUCUUCUAAGAAGCCUUCUCUGGUAGCCUGAGUUUUACCAGUUUGGCUACUCAUAAUGGCAAGUUACUUACUCUCUCUGAGUCUUGGGAGUCUGCAUCACUGAAAUGGAGAUAAGAUUAUCUACCUUGCAGGUCUGCCAUGGAGAUUAAGUGAGAUGAUGCUUGUAAAGUUACUCAACAAAUGGUAAUCAUUGUGAUGUGCUUGGUCCCAUGCUAGGGGCUACAGAGCAGAUGAACGAGACAGCCCCUUCCACAAGAAGCUGCAGAUGAGCACAUGACUGUCUGCCUGCUUUUGGCUUCAAUUGCCCUGUAGUGAGCUGAAGCAGAUUUUCACAAAUAUAAAUGAAGACUUUUCUAGAUGUUUUUAGACACCGACACCAUUAUGUCAUCCAAGUUCUCAGUUAGCAUUUGAAUAAUGCAUCCUGAAGGCCUGAAGGGCAUCACCACAGAGCCUUUCCAGAUAUGACUUUCUUAUACUUCCUCACAAAAUGAUUUGUCCUGAUGCUUAAAGGGCCAUCAGAACGGCUUUAAGGGAAAUAGGUUGUGAUUCAUGGAAACCACAUGGAGUAGACUCUGGAAUCUUUUCUCGCUGAGUUCAAAUCAUGGCUCUACUGGCUAUUUGACCCCAGAACAGUUAUACAAUGGCUCUGAGUAUCAAUUUUCUCAUCAGAAAAGUGGGAAUAAUAAUUCUUAUUUCAUAAGAGGGUAAACAAGCAGACUGAGAUGAAGCGUCAAGUGUUCAGUACAGUGCUUGGCAGAUAGUCCAUACCUAAUUCAUGUUAGUUUCCUAAUAGGUGAAUUUAAGUAGGUAGGGAUGUAGUGGGUGCACAUCUAAACUGUGAGCUGAGGGACUUCAAGCAGACCUUCUUCAGUGGUUUCUUUGUGCCACUGUCACAAAGACUGUAGUCUGAGCAGCCCAUGGGUCUGACUUUGCACUUGGUCUCUUUCCAGUUUUCCAGUAGAAAUGACUAAUAAUCAAAUUAUUAUUCCAUUAUUUAAGUUGUGGGUUUCUCUUGAGUGAGGUAAUCAGCUUCUGGGAGCCUCCAUUUCUCUGUUUAUAGCAGCUUGCAGAUGCAAGGGCCUUGCAGGAAACAAUGAAAGGAAUAGAACUAAUGAAAUGCAUCUGAGACAGCACGGAUACUCAUAGGUACCUGAUGAAAUGUGGCUACUAAUAGCAUAGCAGGAGACCUUCUUUUUGAAGUAUAGUUGGGCCAGUUGAUUCAAAAAGUUGAUUCAGGCAGGAAAUAUUUAAAAAAAAAAAAAUCCCUCACCAUGCCCUACCAGUACCACUAAGAUCAUCAAACCUGUUAAUUUCAUCCCUCAUGGUAGCUCCCAUCCCCACUCCUGGCUUGUAUGGUAGAUGUGAGUCACCACCUCCAAAGGCUAGAAAUACUGCUCCAGGCAUAAAGUUUGGUUUGCAACUUUGCAGGCUUUCCUGCUCACAGAGACCACGUACGUGACCACAGGCUGAAGUCGGAGGAGAAGGGAGUGGGGGUGGCCCUCACCAUGGACCACAGAAGAGGAAGAUGUGGAGAAAUCUGAAAGGAGGAGGUGGUUGGGGAGAACUGGAGGGAGGUGGAACCAUGAAGUGGGAGCUACUUCCGUGGCCAGCUGUUCCUCAUGCCGCUGAGUGCAGCGGGGCAUCACAGCCUGCAGAACUGGGCUGGUCCUGAACACCUGGUUUGGAAUGAGCACUUUUGCCCUGGAGGCCUUGGCAAGAUUUCUUUCCCCAUCCGACCCUUACCAUGUUGGCACCAUUGACUCUUGUAAGUCCCAGAAUGUGGGGUGAAGAGAUGUGGCCUCCUGGAGAGGUUAUGGUGUCCUGAAGGGAAACCCCUUGUCUCCUUGUCAAAGUGAUACUGAACUGAACCAGUUUGGCCUUGCCUCCAUGUUGGGAUGGCUGGGGAACACCCCACUAUGUUAAGCAUCUUGUAAAUUAUAAACUCUAUUGAUUUA
This is a long non-coding RNA of Neofelis nebulosa (Clouded leopard), 5572 nucleotides long. RefSeq lists it as uncharacterized. NCBI's taxonomy places the organism in Eukaryota, Metazoa, Chordata, Mammalia, Carnivora, Felidae. The transcript has 3 exons. The record is from RefSeq and is a predicted model, not a curated record.